ACCAGUGUGGCUGAGUGGUUUGAGCAUUGGACUACGACUCUGGAGACCAGGGUUCAACUCCCCACUCAGUCA
This is a non-coding RNA of Phrynosoma platyrhinos (Desert horned lizard), 72 nucleotides long. Lineage: Eukaryota; Metazoa; Chordata; Lepidosauria; Squamata; Phrynosomatidae. The record is from the annotation of a GenBank genome assembly.